RNAcentral lists this ribosomal RNA (931 nucleotides) under Platyphytoptus sabinianae. Its description in RNAcentral is "eukaryotic LSU rRNA". It matches the Rfam family "Eukaryotic large subunit ribosomal RNA", at positions 366 to 944 of the family's 3401-position model. The record is from RNAcentral. Lineage: Eukaryota; Metazoa; Arthropoda; Arachnida; Trombidiformes; Eriophyidae.
AAAUAGAACUUUGCAGAGAGAGUUAAGAGGGCGUGAACCGUUAAUUGGCAAACGAAUCGGAGCCACGAAGUCGUUUCGCUGAUAAGUUGGGCCAAGUUCAGCUUAGGAGAGAUCCUGGGUGUAUUCUUGUUAGUCCAACCAUCAUUGUAAGCGUACACUGCAACCAGUUAGACGAUUGGAGAUGGGCUCAGUUUGUCGGUGAUGGAGCAAUUCAAAGCCGGCAGGCGAAGUACUUGUUUACCUGGGUUAGUAGUAGCAUGUUUGUGCUUCGGUGCUAGUGUGCUGCUGGGCUCAUGGUGAGUGAACUAUUUCCAAAUACUGACUGGCAAAAUGAAAAUCGCCUUGUGCGUUGCAUAGAAGGCAACAGUUUGCAUUCGUAUCUACAUCCUCGACCAUGGGGUUUUAAGCUCAGCAUUUUCGAAUUUGGACUUGCUGGCUACCAAUGGGGCAACUCUUGGUGCCAGUAUAGCUUUCAUCUAAUCAGGUGUUGACUUGAUCCUGUGUCGUUCGGUGGUGCUACGAUAGGGUGCGAAUGUAAGAUUGUUUGCCAUUGAUUGGCAGUGAGUAGGUCGGCUUUCCGAACGACCCGUCUUGAAACACGGACCAAGGAGUCUAAUUAGGCAUCAGUCGAUCGGUCUUGAAUAGGCCAGACGGGUGGAUUCGUCCACCGAUUGAAGGCGUAGAGAAAUCAAAUCAUGUGAUCAUGGGGGCAAUACCAGCCCUUAUGCGCAACAUGUGCCUGUUCGUAUAGUAAUGUUAGCAAUAACUUACUGGGCGGAGCAAAGAGAUGCCUGAUUGGUACCCGAAAGAUGGUGAACUAUGCUUGGGCAAAUUGAAGCCAGAGGAAACUCUGGUGGAGGAUUGUAGCGAUUCUGACGUGCAAAUCGAUCGUCAGACCUGAGUAUAGGGGCGAAAGACUAAUCGAACCAUC